AGUGAACGCUGGCGGUAGGCCUAACACAUGCAAGUCGAACGGCAGCACAGUAAGAGCUUGCUCUUAUGGGUGGCGAGUGGCGGACGGGUGAGGAAUACAUCGGAAUCUACUUUUUCGUGGGGGAUAACGUAGGGAAACUUACGCUAAUACCGCAUACGACCUACGGGUGAAAGCAGGGGAUCUUCGGACCUUGCGCGAUUGAAUGAGCCGAUGUCGGAUUAGCUAGUUGGCGUGGUAACGGCCCACCAAGGCGACGAUCCGUAGCUGGUCUGAGAGGAUGAUCAGCCAUGCUGGAACUGAGACACGGUCCAGACUCCUACGGGAGGCAGCAGUGGGGAAUAUUGGCCAAUGGGCGCAAGCCUGAUCCAGCCAUACCGCGUGGGUGAAGAAGGCCUUUGGGUUGUAAAGCCCUUUUGUUGGGAAAGAAAAGCAGCAGGUUAAUACCCCGCUGUUCUGACGGUACCCAAAGAAUAAGCACCGGCUAACUUCGUG
This 492-nucleotide ribosomal RNA is filed under the name uncultured bacterium. Its description in RNAcentral is "partial 16S ribosomal RNA". It matches the Rfam family "Bacterial small subunit ribosomal RNA", at positions 29 to 507 of the family's 1533-position model. The record is from RNAcentral.